CUUCAUUCUAAUCAUAACUUUUAAAGCUAUGUAUUAAAAUAUAUGAAAAAAAAACCCUCUAUACCUUUGUAUUCAACUGAAUUUCAAUUAACCAUUUGAGAAGAUUGUGUUUGCCCAGGUUUUGACAAUGUGGCCACUUUCACACAGCACAAACCUCAGGGAUGUCAAUCAUUUCUUAGAGAAUAUAGGUUGUGCAACGAAUCCCAAUUAUCCAGUAUCCAUGACAGGGGCUGUGAUGGCUUUGCCUGGGAUUUCAAAAAUGGACUCAACUUGAAAGUGACAUAUUUCAUUGUGUUCAUUGCAAAACUGAUGCCUUAUCAGAAAACCUAUUUUUCUACUGCCUCUAGAUUAUUGACCACUGCAAACAGACUUAUAAAGUCUUCAUAUAUGCUUCAUCCAGUUCUUUGUACACACCCACAGCAGAGAAAGUUAGUCUAGAUUUGCACAACAUUGGGCUGAGGUCUUGAAUAGGGGUGUUACUUUAUAAUUAACUUUUGAGCUAGAUGAUUUAAACAAACUUCAUUUUUCUCUUUUGUUCUUUUGUUCCCUAUGUUUAUGUUUUUAAAAGAGGAAUAUGCGACAUUUUGGAAAGUUCUCAGAGAAGGAUCAGAGGAUGAGAAUUCACUUUGAGUCAAAUUUAAGGUGUGCUGAAGCCUCCUUCUACGGGGUACAUGUCAACUGAACAGAGAUUUUUUUGUGUGUGUGAAAUGUUUUUUAAGAGCAGUCAAUUUAGAGGUGGAUAUGGUUUCCUCACAAAUUUCAAAAUGUACCUAAGAACUUAGCUUCAUAUCAAAUUCUUUUACUCUUUAUAGUGUUUUAAACUGGGGAGACUUUGGAAAUGAAUUAGUCUUCACCUCAAAGACAUG
RNAcentral lists this long non-coding RNA (866 nucleotides) under Marmota monax (woodchuck). The record is from RNAcentral. Lineage: Eukaryota; Metazoa; Chordata; Mammalia; Rodentia; Sciuridae.